UCUGUUUUUUAAAUUUUAUUUUACAUUUUAAAAUUUGAAUCUCAUUAUGUUUUUAACUUCGAAAAGUAUAGCCGCUCAUUGCUAUUUCAGUUGGGCCUUUUCCUACUUAGGCCCUUGCUAAAACUGAAAAUUGAGGGAAAUGUGAUAUUCCCCGCAUCGAUAUUUGGUUUUGUUAUACACACACACACUGGAUAAUGUUCCUUGACCAUUAUGCUUUCAAUUCAUUGACGGACAAAUAUUUAACAGUGAGGUAGAAUUAUACAAUGCAGUGUUACUGUUUUGGAUGGUGUGGUGUUAAACGGAUGUUAUUCACUCCAAUGGAGGAUGGAUGAAUGUUAGAAAUUUGUGCAACCUAGCAUCUAAGAGAUUGGACUCAAAGAUUAUCAACCAAAGUUUUUAUUAUUAUUCAAAAGUAUUCCAAGUACAAGAGACUACCAUUCUAUUGAUAGAGGAUGUUACCCCAAUGACUAGUUAACCAAUUACUAACCAAAUAACCAACUAACAAAAAACUGUUCAAACCAAUUAACAACUAAAUCUUACAACUAACAUUAUCUUUGAUCAGAGAGUUUUUUGUAGCUCCUUUUGAGUAGGAUGGAUGACUUUCCUAUCUUGUUUGCCUUUCUCAUCUAAUCAAAUGACAUGUUUGGCAAAGAUUUCAUACCAUUGUAUCAUCUUUCUAUACUUUUAAAUUUGGGAGAUGCAAGUUCAUAUCAUAUGGAAAUUGUAGCUGAAGCAUUUUUGACAUUCAGGGAAGAGGGUUUAAUGUACAAAUUUUCUACCUUGGAGUCUGUUUCAAACUAUGUCCAGUCUACUGUUCAACUGUAUUGUCAAUUCAUGAACAGGUGACCUUUGAGAUUGUGUAUAUUAUUAUUAACUAUAACUACUUAUCAGUAUAAGAACUGAUUAAAAUAUUUAUAGUUGGCACUUAUUUUUUAAUAAUACACAAUUAAUUUUAAUGACAUUUCAAAAAGCAGCAUACAAAGGGAACUAGACUAGUAUAAGAUUACUGCUAAUUUGAUGCUUCGAUCAGCACCCUGUAUGACCUGUUCAAGGCAUAUGAAGGUUGUUGCACAAGCAAGUAGAUGAAGGCAAUCUUCUCAUGAAUUCAUUCUACAAUUUAGUCGAAAGCUGACUGAUUUUAGAGAGAUGCAACUUUCAUCUGAGAGAGGUGCGAGUGGAGUUGAACGUAUUAGAAUAUCAGUUCUAGCAUAUGAACCUUGCAAUUGCAGCAACGAGCACAAACCGUUAAUGUGCUAAUUUGUAGGAAGUGGUUUUGGAAGUUCGAUUGACAUUUCUAUGACAUAUGAAAGUUCUCCAGAUUGGUGGAAAAUUUUGUAUUUCCUUAAACCAUACCAUAAUGUAAUGUUUUAUAUUGAACCAAUAUUUUUGUUAAAAUUUAUGUUUGUUCCUUAGGAACCUCCAGGUGAUGUACUUGUAUUUCUCACUGGCCAAGAUGAUAUUGAUGCUGCUAUUCAAUUGCUUAGAGAAGAAGAGCGAAAUGAUCGAAAAAAAUCAGAAUUGAUCGUCUUGCCUCUACUCUGGGCUUUCACCUGCAGAGCAGGAGCUUGUGUUCUCACCCACACCCAGGGGGAAGAGGAAAGUAGUGAUUUCAAAAAAUAUAGCAGAGACAUCAUUAACUCUCGAGGGCAUUGUCUAUGUUGUUGACAGUGGGUUCUCUAAGCUGCGGUUUUACAAUCCAGUAAUUUCGUUUUUCAUUUAAUUCAUCAUAAUGUGUAUAAAGAUUCACUGUCUGUAUCUUCUGCAAAAAGUUGUGCUUCCUCCCAUUUUCUUGGUUGACUUUUUUGUAACGCUAAUCAAUAUUUUGGCUAUUACUGAUGCUACAAGUCUUGAUGUGUUUUAAAAGUUAUGUUGAAGACUUGAAUAAUAAAGACUAUUUUAACCAUCUUUAUUGGUGAA
This is a non-coding RNA of Momordica charantia (bitter melon), 1917 nucleotides long. The record is from RefSeq and is a predicted model, not a curated record. Lineage: Eukaryota; Viridiplantae; Streptophyta; Magnoliopsida; Cucurbitales; Cucurbitaceae.